This is a long non-coding RNA of Bos taurus (domestic cattle), 966 nucleotides long. The record is from Ensembl. NCBI's taxonomy places the organism in Eukaryota, Metazoa, Chordata, Mammalia, Artiodactyla, Bovidae.
GCCGGGAGGAGGGGAGUGAUGCCUGAGGGCCUGGGGCUGGGGAGGGGCACAGCCGGGCCCCAGGGCAGGGUCUGGCAGGGACUGGGGAAGGGCCCUGAGUUGGGUCAAGGCUGGAGAGAAGCCAGGCCUGCCCACUGGUCUGGAAGGGAGGCCCUUGAGGGCUGCAGUGGCCUGGUGCCCAGGCCAUAUCACCGGGUACCUGGCCAGGGGAGACCCCCGAUUCAGUCUCUGACUCACAGAACUCAGCAGGGGGGGAAGUCAAGGAUCAGGCGAGAAGGCAAUGGUACCCCACUCCAGUACUCUUGCCUGGAAAAUCCCAUGGAUGGAGGAGCCUGAUAGGCUGCAGUCCAUGGGGUCGCUAAGAGUCGGGCACGACUGAGCAACUUCACUUUCACUUUCAUGCUUGAUCAGCCAGAGGAUCUUCAGCCCCGACCCUUGUCUCCACCUUCCGAACCCAGGAAAAGUCCACCGGGGAGAAUCUGACCGGAGACAAGCGCGGCCUGGGUGGAGGCCCAGCCCUGCCACCUCCCAGCAGGGUGAUUGUGAAGAAAUCUCUUAACCUGUCCAGGCUUCAGCUUCUCCAUCUGCACUUUGGGGAUGAUAAGACACAAUUCACGGCACUGUCCUGAGGCUUAAAGGAGGGUAAUUCAAGCUGUUCGCGCAGUGCCUGGCCCCAAGAUAAAAUACACCAAAAUUCCUCUGAGGGGCUGCUGACACCGACUGCCCUUUGAGCAUCCCCCUGUGAUGAUGGUACUAAAACAGGGACUAGGAGUUACUUGUCAACAGUGUGUAUGUUGGACUUGCAUUUGUGUUUAUUUACAUGUCAGUUACAGGCCUGAGAGAAAAGGUCUUGUCUUGCCUCUUUGGCACAGGUUCAGAAAUCUCACAUGGAUUGUGGAAAUAAAGUUUCUGUUGUGUUUGAAAAAAAAUACACCAAAAGUUGAGUAUUAUUAUUUUUUAUUAGGC